GGUGGUUCAGUGGUAGAGUGCUUGCCUUACAUGCAUGAGGCCCUUGGUUCGAUUCCUUGGCACCA
Dipodomys ordii (Ord's kangaroo rat) is the source of this 65-nucleotide non-coding RNA. The record is from Rfam. NCBI's taxonomy places the organism in Eukaryota, Metazoa, Chordata, Mammalia, Rodentia, Heteromyidae.